Molecule: long non-coding RNA, 259 nt
Organism: Gadus morhua (Atlantic cod)
Lineage: Eukaryota; Metazoa; Chordata; Actinopteri; Gadiformes; Gadidae
Exons: 3
Source: RefSeq, a predicted model, not a curated record
UUCAGUAACGGAUCUGGCAGACAGUCUCGAUUCUUCUCCUCGUCUCAUCAAAACUCACCUGCCGGUCCAGAUGAUUCCCAAGUCGUUUUGGGAACAGAAAUGCAGGGUAGUGUAUGUGGCCCGUAAUGCUAAAGACAAUGCAGUGUCUUUUUCCACUUUGACCGCAUGGACUUAUGCCAACCAGAGCCAGGAGAGUGGAACAGCUACCUACAGAGAUUCAUGGACGGAAAGAUGUUAUUUGGAUCCUGGUAUGAUCAUG